CCGCAUAAGCGCACAGUAAGACAUCUUACCGUGUGAAAAACUCCGGUGGUACAGGAUGGUCCCGCGUCUGAUUAGCUAGUUGGUGAGGUAAUAGCUCACCAAGGCGACGAUCAGUAGCCGGCCUGAGAGGGUGAACGGCCACAUUGGGACUGAGACACGGCCCAAACUCCUACGGGAGGCAGCAGUGGGGAAUAUUGCACAAUGGAGGAAACUCUGAUGCAGCGACGCCGCGUGAGUGAGGAAGUAUUUCGGUAUGUAAAGCUCUAUCAGCAGGGAAGAUAAUGACGGUACCUGAGUAAGAAGCACCGGCUAAAUACGUGCCAGCAGCCGCGGUAAUACGUAUGGUGCAAGCGUUAUCCGGAUUUACUGGGUGUAAAGGGAGUGCAGGCGGUCUUGCAAGUCAGAUGUGAAAACCCAAGGCUCAACCAUGGGACUGCAUUUGAAACUGUGAGACUAGAGUAUCGGAGAGGUAAGUGGAAUUCCUAGUGUAGCGGUGAAAUGCGUAGAUAUUAGGAAGAACACCAGUGGCGAAGGCGGCUUACUGGACGAUUACUGACGCUGAGGCUCGAAAGCGUGGGGA
This 580-nucleotide ribosomal RNA is filed under the name uncultured rumen bacterium. Its description in RNAcentral is "bacterial SSU rRNA". It matches the Rfam family "Bacterial small subunit ribosomal RNA", at positions 169 to 767 of the family's 1533-position model. The record is from RNAcentral.